This is a long non-coding RNA of Adelges cooleyi (spruce gall adelgid), 610 nucleotides long. RefSeq lists it as uncharacterized. The record is from RefSeq and is a predicted model, not a curated record. NCBI's taxonomy places the organism in Eukaryota, Metazoa, Arthropoda, Insecta, Hemiptera, Adelgidae. The transcript is spliced from 2 exons.
UUGUACAUGUAUGUAUACAACGCAGCAGUGCAAUGGUGUUAUGAGGUAUACAGCUGUUUGGUACGCGUACAAUGAUGUUACACAACGCAGUAGCUGCCAAGUCCUGAAUAUCGUUUAAGCCUCUUAGUUUUGAUUUUUUUUUUUUAAUUGUUAGUUGUUUAAUACUUUUGUCAAUUACCGACGACCACGUACUUAUCAAAAUGAAUGCACCGUUGCGCUACGCAUUAAUCACAGGAGACGUUCUGGAGACAACUAUUGGCGUGACGGGAUUGACCAUUGCUGCCACUGCAACGGGUUGGGGCAUACCGUCGAUGGCGGCCACGGGAGCGGCCAUUAGCGUUUACAAAGUGCUUAAACUCAUAUUGAGGAUACGCAGGAGAUGGGCGUAAAACCGCUGGAAAAUUCGAAUAAUGUAGUUUUGUAAUUUGUGCGUGUAAAAAGAAAGAAAACAAAAUUGACCAUAAGCGGAUACCGACCAAAACGAGGAACUCGGUUUUUAGAUAUAUAACAUUAUUAUCUACUAUCUGUUUGUACAUGUAUAAUAUUAUAACAUGUACGUUUCGUUGUAAAUAUAGUUGAAUAUGUAUAAUAAUAAUAAUAUUAUGAUUUU